Molecule: ribosomal RNA, 484 nt
Filed under: uncultured bacterium
Lineage: Bacteria
Description: partial 16S ribosomal RNA
Rfam family: Bacterial small subunit ribosomal RNA
Source: RNAcentral
AUUGAACGCUGGCGGCAGGCCUAACACAUGCAAGUCGAGCGGAUGAAGGGAGCUUGCUCCUGGAUUCAGCGGCGGACGGGUGAGUAAUGCCUAGGAAUCUGCCUGGUAGUGGGGGAUAACGUCCGGAAACGGGCGCUAAUACCGCAUACGUCCUGAGGUCGAAAGUGGGGGAUCUUCGGACCUCACGCUAUCAGAUGAGCCUAGGUCGGAUUAGCUAGGUGGUGGGGUAAAGGCCUACCAAGGCGACGAUCCGUAACUGGUCUGAGAGGAUGAUCAGUCACACUGGAACUGAGACACGGUCCAGACUCCUACGGGAGGCAGCAGUGGGGAAUAUUGGACAAUGGGCGAAAGCCUGAUCCAGCCAUGCCGCGUGUGUGAAGAAGGUCUUCGGAUUGUAAAGCACUUUAAGUUGGGAGGAAGGGCAGUAAGUUAAUACCUUGCUGUUUUGACGUUACCAACAGAAUAAGCACCGGCUAACUUCGUG